CAAACUCAGAGAGAAAGCAGAUGUAUCUGGAAUUGCUUCUCCUGCACCUGAGGACAAGGAGCCCAGAGGGUGACCCCAUUUUUCUCUCCAACAUUUUUACUGGGCGUCAGACGAGACAGUUCCGGAAACUAUAAAGAAACUGUAACAGCCUGAAUUGCCGCCUCCUCAAAUAUUAACAACAACAACCCAACAGUAAAAUUCAUUACAUCCAUUCCCCUCCUCCUACAAGCACAGAUCCAAAGACAGAAGUGGUCAGAGCCGUCUUCCUUAUGGUCCAGCUUGGUCUUCCUUAUUCCAGCCUGGGUUUCCCAAGGAAACUGUCGACCCCAUAUCUGGAAGUGUGCACCAGAAGCCAAGAGUCCCUCCGCUUGCUCGUCAGGGCCAAGUAGGUGAAGAUUAACGCAAAAGGAGGCA
This 414-nucleotide long non-coding RNA is filed under the name Mus musculus (house mouse). Its description in RNAcentral is "predicted gene, 50306". Lineage: Eukaryota; Metazoa; Chordata; Mammalia; Rodentia; Muridae. The record is from RNAcentral.